GACGGCUUCUGGCUGUGGUGACCCAGGGCAGGCUGUGAAGAGGAGCAGUGGGAGCAGAACCGGAGGUUUGCUGGGUUUUCGGCAGGCCAGAGGGCAUUCCGGUGGGAAGGGAUGCAGAGUCUGGGCUAAUGUAGGUAUGGAAACGUGCAAGGUGUGUUUAACGUGACACAGUGUUAAGAGUCAGGACCUGAGCUGGAAUCCUGGCUCCA
This is a long non-coding RNA of Myotis brandtii (Brandt's bat), 209 nucleotides long. RefSeq lists it as uncharacterized. The transcript has 2 exons. NCBI's taxonomy places the organism in Eukaryota, Metazoa, Chordata, Mammalia, Chiroptera, Vespertilionidae. The record is from RefSeq and is a predicted model, not a curated record.